CCUUCGUCGUCAUCGUCGCGCGGCGCCCGAUUGGCUGAGCACCAGCCUCAGUCCCGGCCUCCCAAUGGCGUGGUGAGAGUGAGAGAACCCCCUCCCCUACCCUUGCUGUCGACUCGUCUCGUCCCCUCCAGGGGGGGAAGAAGAUGAGCUGCUCCUCCUGCUGCGCCGCCGCCGCCGUUCCGUCUCCCCCGGUGGUUCUCUCCAUGCCGCGGGUGAGGUUCACUGCUUCCUGCUCCACAAGAACAGGCCAUAAGGUGCUUUUCUUCGGUUCCAGACAGUUUCCAAGCAUCACAUACAACCCAUCAAGCCGUGCGUCGUCACGGUUGUCGCGGAGAGAGGUAAUAGCUUUUGCCGGGCAACAGUCUUGGGACAUCGGCAGAUUUGUCAGGACUUUGUACUUCUUCAACGGCCCCCCAAACCCUCUGAAGAUUGUAGAGUCCAUCAUUAGCAGUAUCACUGGCUCUGCUUCUAGCGAAGCGCCGAAGAAAAUGGAAACAUCGGAUGUGGUGCUGGUCACUGGAGCCACUGGUGGUGUUGGGCGCCGGGUGGUCGACAUCUUGCGGAAGAAGGGCGUACCCGUUCGAGUAUUGGCUAGAAAUGAAGAUAAGGCAAGGAGCAUGUUGGGGCGUGACAUAGAUUUGAUCAUAGGAGAUGUUACAAAGGAAGAUACACUCGAUCCUAAGCUCUUCGAAGGGGUCAGGAAAGUAGUGAACGCUGUAUCUGUCAUAGUAGGACCAAAGGAAGGUGAUACACCAGAUAGACAGAAGUACAAACAAGGCAUCAAGUUUUUUGAACCUGAGGUAGCGCAUCGAGACAUCUUCUCAUAUCAAGGGACCUUCACCUGAAAUGGUAGAGUACAUCGGAAUGCAAAACUUGAUUAAUGCCAUAAAGAACAGUGUUGGACUAAGUGAAGGGAAACUUCUAUUUGGGCUUAAAGGCAACUUAUCUGGAAAGAUUGUGUGGGGAGCUCUUGAUGAUGUUGUAAUGGGUGGUGUUAGUGAAAGUACUUUUCAAAUCCUACCAACAGGAAGUGAAACUGGUGGGCCAACUGGGUUGUUCAAAGGUACUGUAUCUACUUCAAAUAAUGGUGGGUUUACUAGUAUAAGGACAAAGAAUUUCACUGUGCCAGAGGACCUGUCAGCAUACGAUGGUAUUGAAUUACGAGUUAAAGGUGAUGGGCGACGGUAUAAACUCAUUAUUCGGACAAGCUAUGAAUGGGAUACUGUUGGCUAUACAGAAAGCUUUGACACAACCAAGGGAGAAUGGCAAAGUGUAUGUCAUACUAUGCUGUAAAAUAUCUUCAUUGUUUGUUUCAGUGACGUAGAGCUAUGUUCUUAUUCCUGGAUCAGGUUAAAAUACCUUUCUCUUCUCUGAAACCUGUAUUUCGUGCUCGUACUAUGACUGAUGCUCCACCCUUCGAUGCAAGCAACAUUACUUCACUGCAGCUUAUGUUCAGCAAGUUUGAAUAUGAUGGAAAACUCAACCCAACAUUUAAUGAAGGUCCAUUCGAGCUUCCUUUUUCAAGUAUUAGAGCAUACAUCAAUGAGCCGAUCACUCCAAGGUUCGUUCAUGUGAGUUCCGCAGGAGUUACAAGGCCUGAAAGACCGGGUCUAGAUUUAAGCAAGCAACCGCCUGCUGUUCGCUUGAACAAAGAGCUUGGCUCCAUCUUAACUUAUAAGUUGAAGGGAGAGGAUUUAAUUAGGGAAAGUGGUGUUCCGUACACUAUUGUGCGACCAUGUGCAUUAACUGAGGAACCAGCUGGAGCAGAUCUCAUAUUUGACCAGGGGGACAAUAUCACAGGGAAGAUAUCAAGGGAAGAAGUUGCCCGCAUUUGUGUAGCGGCUCUGGCAAGCCCAAACGCUGUGGGGAAAACUUUCGAGGUCAAGAGCACUGUCCCAUUCAGCGAACCAUAUGUGAUUGACCCUUCAAAUCCCCCUCCUGAAAAGGACUAUGAAGUGUACUUCAAAGAACUAAAAGAACGCAUCACGGGUAAAGAGGCACUGGAAGCUACACCUGCUCAGGUCUGAAGAAUCGCUGCAUGAAGAAUGCCAUCUGCUUUUGGUGAAAUUUGACGUGGUAACCCUCCACUCCCCAUGGUGAUUUUAAUACCAAAGGGGGGAUCCUCUGUUAAAGAAGAUGCUUUCGAUAUGGAAUGUGAAAUGAGAAGGCAAUGGCUACCAUGCAUGUAUAUGAAGAGAAACGUGAGUCGCAUAGAAUUGUGGGUGACACUUGGAUGGUAAAUCUAGGAUAUGAAUCUAUAGGGCAGAUCUAUGUAUCUGUAUUUUUAUUGUUUCACAAAAAUUCUAUGUGUCUGUAUUUUGUCUCUUACUUGUAGAGUGCUGCACGUGUUGAACAGAAAGUAAAUUUAAUUCUAUAGCAUAACAUAUAUCACGUGGUUUAAAAGAAUUCAUUAACCAUCAAA
Molecule: RNA transcript, 2422 nt
Organism: Panicum virgatum (switchgrass)
Lineage: Eukaryota; Viridiplantae; Streptophyta; Magnoliopsida; Poales; Poaceae
Gene name: protein HIGH CHLOROPHYLL FLUORESCENCE PHENOTYPE 173, chloroplastic-like
Exons: 16
Source: RefSeq, a predicted model, not a curated record